AGCUCAAAAAUCAAAUGACAACGAGGCAAGUCCAAAAGUUAAAAGAAGCGCUUUAUUUUAGCAGGUACCCUGUGGCAGUCUCUAUGCAGAGUGCAAAGAGAGAGUCCCG
Molecule: long non-coding RNA, 109 nt
Organism: Octodon degus (degu)
Lineage: Eukaryota; Metazoa; Chordata; Mammalia; Rodentia; Octodontidae
Exons: 3
Source: RefSeq, a predicted model, not a curated record